GAACUGUUAGGAACAACGGAGUACAAAAAAAUCAUUGUCACCAGGGGAGUUAAAGGGGACAUUCUAACAGGGGCAUUGGAGACUUCGGUUGAUGUAUUUGUAUAGGUUAUGCAAUAAACACCAAUGUUUGUUCAAGAUACUAAUGAUAAAUGUUGGAACUGUUGACGUGCUACUGGUAGUUAUGUUCAUAUGUGGUGGGCCUGUAGAAAGGUUUCA
This is a non-coding RNA of Pelobates cultripes (western spadefoot toad), 216 nucleotides long. Lineage: Eukaryota; Metazoa; Chordata; Amphibia; Anura; Pelobatidae. The record is from the annotation of a GenBank genome assembly.